This 468-nucleotide ribosomal RNA is filed under the name uncultured bacterium. RNAcentral's name for it is "partial 16S ribosomal RNA". It matches the Rfam family "Bacterial small subunit ribosomal RNA", at positions 28 to 507 of the family's 1533-position model. The record is from RNAcentral.
GAUGAACGCUGGCGGCGUGCUUAACACAUGCAAGUCGAACGGAAAGGCCCUGCUCUUGUUGGGUGCUCGAGUGGCGAACGGGUGAGUAAAACGUGAGUAACCUGCCCCUGACUUUGGGAUAACUUCAGGAAACUGGGGCUAAUACCGGAGAGGAGCUCCUGCUGCAUGGUGGUGGUUGGAAAGUGUCGGCGGUUUGGGAUGGACUCGCGGCUUAUCAGCUUGUUGGUGGGGUAGUGGCUGACCAGGGGUUCGACGGGUAGCCCGCAUGGGAGGGUAGACAGCGACCAGAGGCCUAAGGUACGGCGCAGUCGGCUACGGUAGGCAGUGGUGGGGAGUAUGGCACAGUGAGGCGAAGUGUGUGGUGAAGGCGCUGCGUGCGGAAUGACGGGUUUCGAGUUGUGAACCGCUUUGGCCUGAGACGAAGCGUGAGUGACGGUAAUGGGUAAAGAAGCACCGGCUAACUACGUG